Molecule: long non-coding RNA, 538 nt
Organism: Suricata suricatta (meerkat)
Lineage: Eukaryota; Metazoa; Chordata; Mammalia; Carnivora; Herpestidae
Exons: 4
Source: RefSeq, a predicted model, not a curated record
CCUCCUUAAGGUGCGCCCUUUCAGGAGAAGCCGUCGCCUUCCCCUUUAAGUACAGGGGAAGGCUGGAUAGGACCUGAGGCCCACGGGGGACCACCCCCCCCACCCCCGUGCAGGUCUACAGUAGAGCUGGAGAAACUGAGGUUUCAGAAACUUGAUCCACAUGCUUUAGAUGAACUUGAACAAAGAAGUAUGUAAAUGAAGAAGAGUGUCCCAUACAUGAGAGUCACAGCAGCCAAGCAUGAGGAGCAGGUUUUGACAACGAUUUCAUUCACCAGUACGUAGAAGUGUUUCAUGAAAUCAGAGAACUGUUAGACUGGAGAAAUCACCUUACCAGAAGCCAUUGCGUCCAUCUGCCUAAGUGGAUUGACCUAUGGACCCACUCAUUCAUCACUGAUUCAAGUUUUGACACAGACUGCAGCUUUGCAAAAGUAAAUUUGAGUUACAAAAUUAACGCAUUUGUUGCAAAACAAGUCCAUCAUCUCUGAUAAGCAUGGAUCACCCCCACCCCCUGAGGCUCCUUUCAAUAUCAUGUUACUAA